RNAcentral lists this ribosomal RNA (443 nucleotides) under uncultured bacterium. Its description in RNAcentral is "partial 16S ribosomal RNA". It matches the Rfam family "Bacterial small subunit ribosomal RNA", at positions 338 to 795 of the family's 1533-position model. The record is from RNAcentral.
CCUACGGGGGGCAGCAGUGGGGAAUAUUGGGCAAUGGGCGCAAGCCUGACCCAGCAACGCCGCGUGAAGGAAGAAGGCCCUCGGGUUGUAAACUUCUUUUAACAGGGACGAAGAAAGUGACGGUACCUGUUGUAUAAGCCACGGCUAACUACGGGCCAGCAGCCGCGGUAAUACGGAGGUGGCAAGUGUUAUCCGGAUUUACUGGGUGUAAAGGGCGUGUAGGCGGGAGAGCAAGUCAGACGUGAAAUUCCAGGGCUCAACCCUGGAACUGCGGUUGAAACUGUUGUUCUUGAGUGAGGGAGAGGCAGGCGGAAUUCCGGGUGUAGCGGUGAAAUGCGUAGAUAUAAGGAGGAACACCAGUGGCGAAGGCGGCCUGCUGGACAUUAACUGACGCUGAGGCGCGAAAGCGUGGGGAGCGAACAGGAUUAGAUACCCGAGUAGUC